RNAcentral lists this ribosomal RNA (271 nucleotides) under uncultured bacterium. RNAcentral's name for it is "partial 16S ribosomal RNA". It matches the Rfam family "Bacterial small subunit ribosomal RNA", at positions 524 to 794 of the family's 1533-position model. The record is from RNAcentral.
UACGUAGGGUGCGAGCGUUAAUCGGAAUUACUGGGCGUAAAGCGUGCGCAGGCGGUUUGCUAAGACCGAUGUGAAAUCCCCGGGCUCAACCUGGGAACUGCAUUGGUGACUGGCAGGCUAGAGUAUGGCAGAGGGGGGUAGAAUUCCACGUGUAGCAGUGAAAUGCGUAGAGAUGUGGAGGAAUACCGAUGGCGAAGGCAGCCCCCUGGGCCAAUACUGACGCUCAUGCACGAAAGCGUGGGGAGCAAACAGGAUUAGAUACCCUGGUAGU